AAUUAAAAAUUUCAUCCAUUUGUACUGUUAAAAGUUAGUUUCGCUGACAAAUCACGUGUACUUCAUAUUGAUAUACAGGGACCAGUUUUUAUCAGUAGAAAUAACGGAAUUUGUAACA
Non-coding RNA from Gossypium hirsutum (cotton), 118 nucleotides. The record is from Rfam. Lineage: Eukaryota; Viridiplantae; Streptophyta; Magnoliopsida; Malvales; Malvaceae.